CCUACGGGAGGCAGCAGUGAGGGAUAUUGGUCAAUGGGGGAAAGCCUGAACCAGCAAAGCCGCGUGAGGGAAGACGGUGUUCGGAUUGUAAACCUCUGUCCUCCGUGAAGAAAAUGACGGUAGCAGAGGAGGAAGCUCCGGCUAACUACGUGCCAGCAGCCGCGGUACUACGUAGGGAGCCAGCGUUGUCCGGAUUUAGUGGGUGUAAAGGGUGCGUAGGCGGCCCUGCAAGUGAGACGUGAAAUCCAUGGGCUUAACCCGUUAACCGCUUUUGAAACUGUAGGGCUUGAGUGAAGUAGAGGCACGCGGAAUUCCCGGUGUAGCGGUGAAAUGCGUAGAGAUCGGGCGGAACACCAGUGGCGAAGGCGGCCUGCUGGGCUUUAACUGACGCUGAAGCACGAAAGCGUGGGUAGCAAACAGGAUUAGAUACCCCAGUAGUC
RNAcentral lists this ribosomal RNA (440 nucleotides) under uncultured bacterium. Its description in RNAcentral is "partial 16S ribosomal RNA". It matches the Rfam family "Bacterial small subunit ribosomal RNA", at positions 338 to 795 of the family's 1533-position model. The record is from RNAcentral.